CCUAGAGUUGUAGGCUUUGCCUGCUAUCUCUUAUCCCAUGUCUUUUGAGUACCUUCGUUUCCUCGGCGGGUCCGCCCGCCGAUUGGACAAUUUAAACCAUUUGCAGUUGCAAUCAGCGUCUGAAAAAACUUAAUAGUUA
Molecule: unclassified non-coding RNA, 139 nt
Filed under: soil metagenome
Description: partial internal transcribed spacer 1
Source: RNAcentral